UAGAUGAUGAUUGUUGCAUUG
This 21-nucleotide non-coding RNA is filed under the name Caenorhabditis elegans. The record is from RNAcentral. Lineage: Eukaryota; Metazoa; Nematoda; Chromadorea; Rhabditida; Rhabditidae.